GACGAACGCUGGCGGCGUGCUUAACACAUGCGAGUCGAACGGUAAGGCCCUUCGGGGUACACGAGUGGCGAACGGGUGAGUAACACGUGGGUGAUCUGCCCUGCACUUCGGGAUAAGCCUGGGAAACUGGGUCUAAUACCGGAUAGGACCACUGCCUGCAUGGGUGGUGGUGGAAAGCUUUUGCGGUGUGGGAUGGGCCCGCGGCCUAUCAGCUUGUUGGUGGGGUGAUGGCCUACCAAGGCGACGACGGGUAGCCGGCCUGAGAGGGUGACCGGCCACACUGGGACUGAGAUACGGCCCAGACUCCUACGGGAGGCAGCAGUGGGGAAUAUUGCACAAUGGGCGCAAGCCUGAUGCAGCGACGCCGCGUGAGCGAUGACGGCCUUCGGGUUGUAAACCUCUUUCAGCACCGACGAAGCGCAAGUGACGGUAGGUGCAGAAGAAGGACCGGCCAACUACGUGCCAGCCGCCGCGGUAA
This 478-nucleotide ribosomal RNA is filed under the name uncultured bacterium. RNAcentral describes it as "partial 16S ribosomal RNA". It matches the Rfam family "Bacterial small subunit ribosomal RNA", at positions 28 to 523 of the family's 1533-position model. The record is from RNAcentral.